UACGUAGGGGGCAAGCGUUGUCCGGAUUUAUUGGGCGUAAAGAGCGUGUAGGCGGCCUUGCAAGUCCGUUGUGAAAACUCGAGGCUCAACCUCGAGACGCCGGUGGAAACUGCAAAGCUAGAGUCCGGAAGAGGAGAGCGGAAUUCCUGGUGUAGCGGUGAAAUGCGCAGAUAUCAGGAAGAACACCCGUGGCUAAGGCGGUUCUCUAGUACGGUACUGACGCUGAGACGCGAAAGCGUGGGGAGCGAACAGG
RNAcentral lists this ribosomal RNA (253 nucleotides) under uncultured bacterium. RNAcentral's name for it is "partial 16S ribosomal RNA". It matches the Rfam family "Bacterial small subunit ribosomal RNA", at positions 524 to 776 of the family's 1533-position model. The record is from RNAcentral.